UUCAAAGUUCUAAUUAAAUCCAAAUGUUACAAAUUACUCCAAAAAAGGCCAAGGCAUAAUCAAAAGAGUUUAAAAUAUGCAGAUCUUACAAAUAAUUCAACAGAGGUUACAUGAUUAGUCCCUAAGGUUACAAUCCAAAAGAUUUGUUACAGCUAAAUAAAUUUGAAGAAAAAUUGAACAAGUUGAGUAUCCAACAGAUUGAAGCAGCUUCCAAGACUUUUCCAAAAGCUCUUUUGGAAGCUCCAACGCCCCAAUCCCAAGCUGGCGCCGCCUCCUUUCCUAAUCAACAUCACUUCACCUGCAAAAAAAAAACAAUUCAAAAAAAAAGCUUAUCAAAUAAGCACUUAAAACAAACUGGAAAAUAAAUGAUUAAAUAAACAGGUAAGUGUGUUGCACGAUGAAUCUAAGAAAACACCCAAAAAAUCACAUUCCAAUAUCCAAAUAAACAACCUUAAAUCCACAAAGCAAACAUCCCAUAAAGUCUGGAAACAAGAUCCAACAAGUUAUCUCACAGAAACCAACAUUCAUAUAUAACAAAAUCAAUUAACAGUGAGAGGACACGUUUUGGAGAUCCAACAGAACAGAGCAAUUCAUUUUUUCAAACCCAAACAACAGAGCAAUAUUUUCUGAAAGUCCAAUUAAGUUAACAGCAAAACACACAACAGCAAAGUACAACAGCAAGAACUACAACAACAAGAUUUCGAAAAAAACCCAAAAAACCAAACAGCAAACAUCAAACAUUUUUUAGAAAUCCCAGAGAUUAAGAACAUCAAAUUUCCGAAAAAAGCCAGCAAACCAUAACAAAAAAAAAAACUGAAACAGAGUUGCCAUUUAAUCAUCAGACGAAACAGACAAAGAAGAAAAGUUAAGGAAGGAAACUUAUCCGGAACUGUGACGGGUUGCCGGCGACGGACUCGGAUCAAAGCACUCUUCUCCGCCUGAAAUCGCCUUUCCAUCUCCUCUGCCGUGGUAAGUGAAACAAAAUCCCCAUUAUUUCUCUUAAAUCGCCACAUGCAAGAACUUAGAUUUCGCGGUAAGGGUUUAGAGAUCUAGAAGGUUCGAGCAUGGUUUAGGAAAUUUUGGGUUCAUAUU
RNAcentral lists this long non-coding RNA (1092 nucleotides) under Lathyrus oleraceus (garden pea). Its description in RNAcentral is "Pisum sativum (pea) long non-coding RNA (PSAT_LNC020699)". Lineage: Eukaryota; Viridiplantae; Streptophyta; Magnoliopsida; Fabales; Fabaceae. The record is from RNAcentral.